RNA transcript from Bubalus bubalis (water buffalo), 4679 nucleotides. It is a transcript of the gene named zinc finger protein 665, with no coding region annotated. NCBI's taxonomy places the organism in Eukaryota, Metazoa, Chordata, Mammalia, Artiodactyla, Bovidae. The record is from RefSeq and is a predicted model, not a curated record. The transcript is spliced from 8 exons.
GCGACCUGAAAACCGUGGCACCCGGUGCUCGGCACCGAAUAAACGCUGCCGCUGCCGUUGGCGGCCCAGUUAUCUUUUCGUUUGGGUUUUAAGUGUUGCUGAGGCGGUUUCGGCCCUCGGUCCGCGUAGACACCGCCUCUGGCGACAUUUUCCUGCUUAAAACCCUUUUUUACCUCUGGCCUCGCCAAGUAAAGCCCUCGCUCGCGAGUUGGAGUCACGCCCGCCGCAUCGCCUUCUCCACUGCGGGAGGCAGAGCCCAGAUAGGCCGCGCGCCCUCUCCCCGGUCCCGGGAUUCCGGAGAGCCCGCCCCGCUCCUGAGGCCCCUCUCUCCCAGCCCGUCUGUCCUCACGUCUCCUGAGGCCGGUCCUUCUGCCCCGCAGCAGGCCCCUUUCCUGUCAGCCCGUCCCCUCACCCCGCGUAGGGUAGGUGACCUGGUCCAGCCUUGUGACAGCCAGUGCUGUUCCAUGCCCAGUUCAGCUCGGUCGGAAAAGGUGAUCUUCCGGUCCGGGGGCGUCUCGUUCUGUGGCCCACUCAGUAAAUUCAGGAGGCAGGAGGAUCAGGAGAAGCAGAGUCAGAAGGACUGAGAGAAAUAACUGCAACUGAGGAGAAAAGCAUCAGGGAGAACCAAUGGGAAAACAGAAUGGUUGAGGGAUUUGCAAAGGGAUAGUCAAGUCAAAGAGGUUAAGCCUUGAAAAUAGCCAAGUGAGUAAAAUAGAGAAGUAUUAAUAAAUUAGAAAGCCAGAUCUCCAGGGAUUGGAAAACAGCGUAGGGAGAACUGCCCUGUAUCAGUGAUGAGAGCGGGGAGGCGAAGGGCGAUGAGGACAUCAGAGGUGGAGAGUCCCUAACUGGGUUUUGGCCGGGUUUGAGUCCAGGCCUCUUGGGUUACAGUCCGGAGUUGUGUUUUCACCCGGAUGGAGUCCCGCCACAAGGGUUCAAGUCUCAAUCUGAGGUGGCAGGUUUUCUGGUGCUGGCAGAGAAAGAGAUUCAUUCCUUGCCUGAGUGCUUUCUUCCCCUCAUCUCAUACAUUUGAAAUUUUCUUUGACCUCUGAAGACUCGUGUUGCCUAGGAAGCCCUGAAGUUAAGGAAGAGAAAGGAAAAGGAGUGAGGCAUGGCUCUUUCUCAGGAACGACUGACCUGUGAGGAUGUGGCCAUUGAAUUCACUCAAGAGGAGUGGGUAUUCCUGGGCCCUGCUCAGAGGGCCUUGUACAGGGACGUGAUGCUGGAGACCUACAGGAAUCUGCUAUCUGUGGAUAUCUCUCCUACACAUGUGAUCAAGCAUUUACAACUGGAAGCAAAGAGUGAUAAACUAGAAACAUUCCAAACAUUGAUGCUGGGAAGACCUGAAAGCUGUGAAAUCAAACAUUUUCAUCUUUGGGAAAGUCAGGAAAAUAUGUGUGACUCUGAGUGUCAGGGGAGAGAUGACAAAAGAAAUUACAAAGGGACACUUGUAAGCCUUAAUGGAAAUGUGCCUGAUGGAAGAGAUUCGCAUGAUAGAAAGGAUGCACGAAUCAAGCCCUUUGGAAACAGGUUUGGACUUAACUUUCAGGAUAAACUGCAGAUAUUUCAAACUGGCAGGAUAAUUUCUGAAUAUAAUGAAGUUGAGAGGUCUGUCAGCAACAGUUUCUCAUUUUCACCACUUCAAAGAAUUCCUCCUUGUGUCCAAACCAGUGUUUCUAAUAUAUAUGGGAAUGGUUUUAUGAAUCCUUCAGUAAUAACACAAGAACUCAAAGCACACAAGGAAAAUCCUUAUAAAUGUGAUGAGUGUGGCAAGGCCUUUAGUCACAGCUCACACCUCAGGAGACAUAAGAAAAUUCAUACAGGAAAGAAAUUAUUUAAAUGUGAUAUAUGUGGCAAAGUCUUCAUCGGAAAUUCAAACCUUGCUGUUCAUCAGACAGUUCAUACUGGCGAGAAACCUUACAAAUGUGAUGAGUGUGGCAAGGCCUUUCGUGUAAAGUCAUACCUUUUAAGUCAUCAGACAGUUCAUACUGGUGAGAAACCUUACAAAUGUGAUGAGUGUGGCAAGGCCUUUCGUGUAAAGUCAUCACUUUUAAGUCAUCAGACAGUUCAUACUGGCAAGAAACCUUACAAAUGUGAUGAGUGUGGCAAGGCCUUUCGUGCGAAGUCAAUCCUUUUAAGUCAUCAGACAGUUCAUACUGGAGAGAAACUUUACAAAUGUGAUGAGUGUGGCAAGGCCUUUCGUGUAAAGUCAUACCUUUUAAAUCAUCAGACAGUUCAUACUGGAGAGAAACCUUACAAAUGUGAUGAGUGUGGCAAGGCCUUUCGUGUAAAGUUAUACCUUUUAAGUCAUCAGACAGUUCAUACUGGCGAGAAACCUUACAAAUGUGAUGAGUGUGGCAAGGCCUUUCGUGUAAAGUCAUCACUUUUAAGUCAUCAGACAGUUCAUACUGGCAAGAAACCUUACAAAUGUGAUGAGUGUGGCAAGGCCUUUCGUGCGAAGUCAAUCCUUUUAAGUCAUCAGACAGUUCAUACUGGAGAGAAACUUUACAAAUGUGAUGAGUGUGGCAAGGCCUUUCGUGUAAAGUCAUACCUUUUAAGUCAUCAGACAGUUCAUACUGGAGAGAAACCUUACAAAUGUGAUGAGUGUGGCAAGGCUUUUCAUGUAAAGUCAAUCCUUUUAAGUCAUCAGACAGUUCAUACUGGAGAGAAACUUUACAAAUGUGAUGAGUGUGGCAAGGCCUUUCGUGUAAAGUCAUCACUUUUAAGUCAUCAGACAGUCCAUACUGGUGAGAAACCUUACAAAUGUGAUGAGUGUGGCAAGGCCUUUCGUGUAAAGUCAUCACUUUUAAGUCAUCAGACAGUUCAUACUGGCGAGAAACCUUACAAAUGUGAUGAGUGUGGCAAGGCCUUUCAUGUAAAGUCAUCACUUUUAAGUCAUCAGACAGUUCAUACUGGAGAGAAACUUUACAAAUGUGAUGAGUGUGGCAAGGCCUUUCGUGUAAAGUCAUCACUUUUAAGUCAUCAGACAGUUCAUACUGGAGAGAAACUUUACAAAUGUGAUGAGUGUGGCAAAGCCUUUCGUGUAAAGUCAUCACUUUUAAGUCAUCAGACAGUUCAUACUGGUGAGAAACCUUACAAAUGUGAUGAGUGUGGCAAGGCCUUUCCUGUAAAGUCUACCCUUUUAAAGCAUCAGACAAUUCAUACUGGUGAGAAACCUUACAAAUGUGAGGAGUGUGGCAAGGCCUUUUCUGUAAAGUCAACCCUUUUAAGGCAUCAGACAAUUCAUAGUGGUGAGAAACCUUACAAAUGUGAUGAGUGUGGCAAGGCCUUUCCUGUAAAGUCAACCCUUUUACAGCAUCAGACAAUUCAUACUGGUGAGAAACCUUAUAAAUGUGAUGAGUGUGGCAAGGCCUUUCGUUUAAAGUCAGUCCUUUUAAAGCAUCAGACAAUUCAUACUGGAGAGAAACCUUACAAAUGUGAUGAGUGUGGCAAGGCCUUUCGUGUAAAGUCAACCGUUUUAAGUCAUCAGGCAGUUCAUACUGGUGAGAAACCUUACAAAUGUGAUGAGUGUGGAAGAGUCUUCCGUAAAAAGCCACAGCUUCAACGUCACUGGAGAAUUCAUACUGGAGAGAGACCUUUCAGAUGUAAUGAGUGUGGCAAGUUCUUCAGUCAAAAUUCACACCUUAAAAGGCAUCGGAGAAUACAUAUAGAGAAACCUUUCAAAUGUUUCGAGUGUGGAAAAUCCUUUACUGAGGAUGACUGUAUGAUGGCACACAAAGCACCAGCGGCUGCGACGGCACACAGAGUGUGGCCAAGAGGAACUACCCAAUGUCCCGAGGUCAGGGGCAGAGACCAGGAGGACCCCAUGCCCAAGAGGCGGCAGCCAAAAGGAGUUACCCCAUGUCCAAGGUCGGGGGCAGCAUCUGAGAAUGCCAGGCUGCGACAGCGCAGGAAUGGCCGGGAGGAGCUACCCCAAGUCUAAGGAGGGGCAGCGGUGAGGAGAUACCCCUCGUCCAAGGUAAGGAGCAGUGGCUGUGCUUUGCUGGAGCAGCUGUGAAGAGAGAACCCACGCCCAAGGAUGAGAGGUCCGCUCCAAGCUCCAAGGAGGAGGCAUAUGUACUGAGUCAUUAGUGGAUACAACCAGUCCUAUAUCUGUCCAUUCUACAACCUGCAAUAAAGGGGGAUUAGGUAUAUAAGCCGAAUAAGUGUGAUUAAUCAAGUCAGCCUGAGCGGGGGAAGCAAAAGCAAGCAUAGCGACAAAAAUAUUUUCAGGAUUCCAAAGCAUUCUCUGUUGAGAAACCAGAUUUUCAGCUUGAUUAGUAAGGGUUUUUAUCUGUCCCCAAGUGGGGAGAUCAUAAGGUCGAUGACCUCGAGUGUGGCGUUUCUCGGAAAUUUUUAAAGUCGCCAUGGCUUGUACUGGAAACUCCUCCUCCUGGGGAUUUUGCCAUUAUCUUGAAUGUCGGUGGCUCCCCUGGGGCCGAUCUUCUGAAGAGGGAGCCACCUGAUUUCGUUGGGCCCAUCUGGAGAAAUAUAAGCAUACCCCUUUCCCUGUAAUAUUAAUUUUCCAGAUUUCCAUUGUUCAGUCAACCCGUCUUGAUACCAAAUGGGCAGAGGAAGGGAGAUAUCCUUCAAUGCCUCAAAAUGUUUUUCUGCUUUGUCAAAAUAUCCCCUUGCGGCAAUUUGUUUAAAAAUUUUAACAAAAUAAAGCUGUAUUAACAAUA